UACGUAGGUGGCGAGCGUUGUCCGGAUUUACUGGGCGUAAAGCGCGCGCAGGCGGCUGGUCAAGUCCGAUGUGAAAGCUCCCGGCUUAACUGGGAAAUUGCAUCGGAAACUGAUCGGCUGGAGGGUGGGAGAGGGUAGCGGAAUUCCCGGUGUAGUGGUGAAAUGCGUAGAUAUGGGGAGGAACACCAGUGGCGAAAGCGGCUACCUGGUCCGUAAGUGACGCUGAGGCGCGAAAGCGAGGGGAGCAAACGGG
Molecule: ribosomal RNA, 253 nt
Filed under: uncultured bacterium
Lineage: Bacteria
Description: partial 16S ribosomal RNA
Rfam family: Bacterial small subunit ribosomal RNA
Source: RNAcentral